Populus trichocarpa (black cottonwood) is the source of this 439-nucleotide long non-coding RNA. RefSeq lists it as uncharacterized. Lineage: Eukaryota; Viridiplantae; Streptophyta; Magnoliopsida; Malpighiales; Salicaceae. The record is from RefSeq and is a predicted model, not a curated record. The transcript is spliced from 3 exons.
AAGUCUUGUGGCCGCCAUGACCCUUUCCUCAUCAAACCAAGGAUUUCAGUUUUUGAUCUUGAGUUUUGGGUUUAAGAAAAGUGGAAGUAGCAAGUUCGCCUAACAUUCCUCAAUAGGUUUUUCGGGUCUUUCAUCUGAUAUUUCUUUUAAUCUAUAUUCUUCCGGGUUCUUAGUUUCUGAUAAUAGUUGGACUUUGUUGAGUGUUCCUGCUUCUUCAGUUUUGGUCAGUAUGCCUUGCUUGUUUUGCGAGACUUUCCUUUUAGUUUUGAUUCGAUAUCUUAGACGCUCUACUAUUACCUUGUUUUAAUUAAGUUUGGAUUUUGACAAUGUAAUGAGUAUUAUGGAUUAUUGUUUUUGUUUUAAUUACUGAUGAGGAGUUUUAAACUAUCUUUUGGUUUCAUCAGUUUUGAAUAAUAUAAUAUUUCUGAAGAUUAUGAAA